Eleginops maclovinus (Patagonian blennie) is the source of this 2775-nucleotide long non-coding RNA. RefSeq lists it as uncharacterized. The record is from RefSeq and is a predicted model, not a curated record. NCBI's taxonomy places the organism in Eukaryota, Metazoa, Chordata, Actinopteri, Perciformes, Eleginopidae. The transcript is spliced from 3 exons.
UUUUUGGCAGAAGUAACUUUUGCAACAUUGCCAAACCAUCGCUUUGUGCUUAAUAUUUCCAUAAAAAUAAGGUCACUACAAAAAAGAUUAAAACUAGCUCUAUAAUCUUUCACUGUAAAAAAUAAACUCUUGCUUGUCUGUUUAUUACCAGUCAAACAAUACUCUAUUUCACUUGAGCAGUAAAGUAAUAACAAUAAUCUUAUGAAUGCAGAAUCAAUUGUUAUCGAGUGUGUGGGAUUUAGCACCUUCUUCAGUGAAUCAGGAACAAUUCAUCAAGAAAGAGACUAGCAGGCAGAUUAACUACUAACUAAUUGGUUAGUUACAUCUAACGAUCUGAACACAAAUGAUUUAUUCAGUGUUAUGCGUUAACUAUUUCUCAGUUGUUCAUUAUAUUAAAAUGUUGCACUUAAUAGCACACAGUAACACACAAAGCUAUGUUCAAAAGAAGGACUGCAAUGGUUGAAACACUGUCUACAUCACUGUACAGGACUGUUUGAGCAUCGCUCUGAUGAACUUCUUCAGUUCUUUGUCCCCUCUGGUCCACCUCACCAGUCGAGUCAGCACUAGUCUUCCCUCUUCAGCCUGAGCCAGAGCCAGAGUCUAAACCAGGACAAGUACAGGUGCCUCCUUCUUGCAGCCACAAAGCACUGUGGGCCAUCGCGCCUCCUAUCCCUUCUGCCCUCUCUGCACCUCCCCCUGCCCACCUCAGGAUGCGGCUGCGGGCCGUAGGCACCAGCUGACGGUCUCCUCCUACCAUCGACACACUGCCCAGACGCAUCUUAAAAGCUGAAACAAGAGACCAAGACAAUGCUAUUCAACAGGCAGAAGUUUUCUUGGAUGUCAGAUUCCCCUUCAGCAGCCAGACUGCAGGCAUCACAGAUAACACUCCCUGGGGGGUGGGAAAGAGAGAGUUUUAAAUGACUGUGAGCGUCUGUGGUGGGGAUGUUAAAAGAGCAGAAACUCCAGGAUCAAGGCGUGCAAUACAACUUAAGAGAUAAGAUUGGAUAAAAUAAGACCUCAUUGAUCUCCGAAAGAGAUAUUUCAGUUGUUUCAGCACUCAAAGAAUCAAACAGUCAACAAAGUAAGCAAACAGAUUAACUGUUUUAUGAGGUUAAAGUAUUAAAUAAAUGCUGAUUAGCCAGAUAUGUGUCUCUUAAAAGAAACACAUGACAUAUAAACACAUAUCCUAGGUAAAAAAAAUGUUUUGCCUAGGAACCUACAAUUUCUGCAACAAAAAAAGAAUGAACACAUUAAUGAAUACAAUAAUAUAAUGGGGUAUAGUUUAUUCUGAAGUGUGGCACUCACAAAAUAAUUAGGAUACCUUUACUGUUGGUACUUAAAAAUACUAUAGCCUAUAAAUAUUUUGACAGUAAUAUAAUUUAGUUUUACCUACAUCACCUACUAAAUUGACCCUGCUUAACUGUGGGUUACACGUCACUCGUAGUAAAAUAAGCUUACAUUACGUCUGAAACAUCACCAGUUUUUUAAAGGUUAGGUCUACAAAUCGUGCACUGACCUUUCAGCGCCUCCUCGUGCCUGACCUCCUCCGCCGUCCGUCCCUCGUGCUCUCCGGAUGCCGGUAUACACAGCUCGGUCCCGCGCGGAAACCGGGUGCAGUUAAACAUCUCCGGCCACGGGAACCCGAAGGCACUCAUCACGGGCACGCAGCCGUCCCGCACGGCCUCGCACAGGCUCCUGCAGGGGCUGACUGGCCCGCUGAGCUCCGGCAGGCACACCGGAGCAAACAGCGAGCAUAGGAACUUCUUGGAGUCCCGGUGGCACAGCUUGGAGAUGAGGGGCAGCCAGGCUGCCGACUGCUGCUGGGCCUCCCUCAGGGUGUCAUGGCCGAGCAAGUUGGGGAUCCGCAUUUGCCUGUAGCCGAUCCCGUGGCACAGCGACAGGGUGCUCGGGAUGGGUUUACACACCGAGCGGACCGAGGAACUGAAUCCCAGUGACGGCGGCCCGAGUUGGGCAGGAGCCGCGGUGUCAGAGGCAUGGGUGACUCCUCCAAACAGCAGAAUAAAGCAGAGCACAGAAACUAACAUUGUUGUUUAGUUUCACCAGAGAACCGAGUGCACUCUGUAGAGUUGCUGCUCUUCUGUCUGGACUUGACCGGCAUGUAGGUGUAAACAAAGAGGUGUGGAGGAAAUGGGGGGUUAAUGAAAGGGCAGGCGCCUCCCAGUUAUCAUCCCACCCCAUCAGACUGUUGCCUGUCUCAACAUUUAAUAGUUUCAGGCUGCAAACUGAUUGUUUCUUUAGUUUGGCAUGCAUAUUAUGAACAUAAAUAGGCUACAUUGACGGGUUAGAGUAGCCUAUACAGUUAUCAUCGUCCGGCACUUUAAAAUAAACGUUUUUGAAAACUCAUUUUUACAUGUCAUGACUUCUUAUUUUAAAUCGCAUAAUCGCUUUUCAUCUUGUUUGUAAAAAUUGAGGACAUUAAAUUGAAAUACUGUUUAGAUAAGGGUUACACGUCAAACUGAACAGUGCGAUUUUGAACCAGAGAAAUCUAGCGUAUUUUUUUUAAAGGAUUAAUACAGAGACUUUUAUUACUAAUAGCCUUUUUAGGAAACACAUAGAAAGCUGUUUUGGUGUGUGAUAAGCUUUGAAAAACAUUACUGUCAGUAUUGUAAAAUCGGUUAGUGGAAAUGAAAUGUAGUGUGAAAAGAACUAUGUGUGGUUACCUGUCAUCAUACUCAGCCAGAGGGUAGGAGAGACCCUUUCAUCUUUUUCCAGGGAGACACAGGGCACCAACAUGCCUCGUCCUGCUCCCUUGUU